This 429-nucleotide ribosomal RNA is filed under the name bacterium. RNAcentral describes it as "partial 16S ribosomal RNA". It matches the Rfam family "Bacterial small subunit ribosomal RNA", at positions 355 to 776 of the family's 1533-position model. The record is from RNAcentral.
UGGGGAAUCUUCCGCAAUGGACGAAAGUCUGACGGAGCAACGCCGCGUGAGUGAUGACGGCCUUCGGGUUGUAAAGCUCUGUUAAUCGGGACGAAUGGUUCUUGUGCGAAUAGUGCAAGGAUUUGACGGUACCGGAAUAGAAAGCCACGGCUAACUACGUGCCAGCAGCCGCGGUAAUACGUAGGUGGCAAGCGUUGUCCGGAAUUAUUGGGCGUAAAGCGCGCGCAGGCGGAUUGGUCAGUCGGUCUUAAAAGUUCGGGGCUUAACCCGGUGAUGGGAUGGAAACUGCCAAUCUAGAGUAUCGGAGAGGAAAGUGGAAUUCCUAGUGUAGCGGUGAAAUGCGUAGAUAUUAGGAAGAACACCAGUGGCGAAGGCGACUUUCUGGACGAAGACUGACGCUGAGGCGCGAAAGCGAGGGGAGCGAACGGG